AGCCGCCGCAAAUCCAACCCUAAUUUAUUUGCACACUUUUUCUCAAUGUCUUCUUCAUCAGAGGCGGAGAGGGAGACGGGCAUCUUCUGGGACAUCGUGGAUUGCGAAAUUCCUAAUGGUCUCUCGCUUGAAUUGGUUUGUCAGAAUAUCAAAUCAGCUCUCGCGGAUGCUGGUUAUCGUGGUAAAGUGUCAAUCCAUGCUUAUUGUGACGCGGAAGAGAGCGAAGUGGCAGUGGCUUCAGCGUUUGAAUCCUCCGGCAUCAAGCUCGUACGCGCAGGAGAUGCAUAUUCGAGACUUUUUAGUAUGUUCAAGGACAUUAGUCUCUUUGCGAUAGACCACGAACCAUCGAAUUUGAUGGUAAUCUCACAAGACAUCUCAUCUGAAUCGCCGCUGUACGUCAAACUUCUUCUCAAGGUGAAAACGAAGAGGAAUCACAAUCUUCUCUUAGCACAGAUUGAUAAGGUAAAAGGAGAGUUACUUCUUAGCAGCAAUGUAAGUUCAAUAUGGUACUGGAAAGACUUAUCAAGUGGAGGAAGGCCUUGCGGGGAUGGCAAUAAUUGUAGUACUAGCGAAUUUGCCUAGGCUGACAUGGGCAUCUUCUGGGACAUUGUGGAUUGCGAAAUUCCUGAUGGUCUCUCUCUUGACUUGGUUUGUGAGAAUAUCAAAUCAGCUCUUGCGGGUGAUGGUUAUCGUGGUAAACUGUCAAUCCAUGCUUAUUGUGAGAUGAAAAAGAGCGAAGCCAUUGUGCCGUCAGAGUUUGAAUCCUCUGGAAUUGAGCUCGUACGCGCAGGGGCUUAUUCGCUUGGGAGGUUUCUUUUUCUGCCUUCAUUUGGUCAAACAGGUGCUGGUGGGAGGCUUUUGCCACCGCCUCUUAGUAUGUUACAGGUAAUUCACAGGAUCUAACUUUUCUUUUGAACAUUAGAUACCAAAGGGAUAUGUUUAAGAGUAUAAUUUAUCAGCCUAAACCAUAUCUCGCUGAAGCUCACAUUCGCACAUUAGGUUCUUGGUCUUAGCAUUGUUGAGGUACCUUUAGGAGUUUGUGUACGACUGCUUGAUGGGUGCUAGUAGUGAGUUUUCAAGCUGCUAGUGUGUUCUGUUUUUAACAAGAUGGUUGAGCAGGGGUUCUGUUCUAGUUUCAGUUGUUUAAACAGGUUAUUGUGGUGAGUCUACAAUGGUAUAUACUGUUAGUGAGAUUCACUACAAGUUGAAUGAAAGUGCUUCAGUUGCUGGGCAAGUAUGAGCUUAAAACAACAACCUUUGUAUUAUUGCUCUUCUUUACGCAGUUGUUGGGCAGGAGGGUGCAUCUGAAGUAGAUCUCAGCAUCCUUCCCAAGUACAGGUUUCAGAGGAUGAACAAUGAUGAAAAGGAAAGUGACGGUGUAGGACUGCUGUAUAUGUCUGAGUUCAUAUGUUUCUACCAAAGUCUCCAACAGCUACAACUAGUAGAACAAACGAUGCAACAAGAGGGUGCUUAGAUGGAUUCAAAUGGUUCAACUCAACCCAACCAAACAACAAUGUACUUCUCGUUGGUCUUUUGUCUAGUCUUGCCACUACCUCUUCUGCUUUCCAAAUUUUGUAAAAUAUAUUUAAUAUUCCGAAUAUUGUAAAUUUUUUUGUUUUAU
Molecule: non-coding RNA, 1621 nt
Organism: Camelina sativa (false flax)
Lineage: Eukaryota; Viridiplantae; Streptophyta; Magnoliopsida; Brassicales; Brassicaceae
Source: RefSeq, a predicted model, not a curated record